RNAcentral lists this ribosomal RNA (508 nucleotides) under uncultured bacterium. RNAcentral describes it as "partial 16S ribosomal RNA". It matches the Rfam family "Bacterial small subunit ribosomal RNA", at positions 28 to 507 of the family's 1533-position model. The record is from RNAcentral.
GACGAACGCUGGCGGCGUGCCUAAUACAUGCAAGUCGAACGCUUCUUUCCUCCCGAGUGCUUGCACUCAAUUGGAAAGAGGAGUGGCGGACGGGUGAGUAACACGUGGGUAACCUACCCAUCAGAGGGGGAUAACACUUGGAAACAGGUGCUAAUACCGCAUAACAGUUUAUGCCGCAUGGCAUAAGAGUGAAAGGCGCUUUCGGGUGUCGCUGAUGGAUGGACCCGCGGUGCAUUAGCUAGUUGGUGAGGUAACGGCUCACCAAGGCCACGAUGCAUAGCCGACCUGAGAGGGUGAUCGGCCACACUGGGACUGAGACACGGCCCAGACUCCUACGGGAGGCAGCAGUAGGGAAUCUUCGGCAAUGGACGAAAGUCUGACCGAGCAACGCCGCGUGAGUGAAGAAGGUUUUCGGAUCGUAAAACGCUGUUGUUAGAGAAGAACAAGGACGUUAGUAACUGAACGUCCCCUGACGGUAUCUAACCAGAAAGCCACGGCUAACUACGUG